AAACAUGGCUCUGAUGACUAAACUUUUUUCCCCAGCAGAUCGACUCUGUUGACUUAUCUUUACAAUUUAAGCCAAAUUGUCUGAGCCAUUAUC
Small nucleolar RNA from Hemibagrus wyckioides, 93 nucleotides. RefSeq annotates it as small nucleolar SNORD12/SNORD106. The record is from RefSeq and is a predicted model, not a curated record. NCBI's taxonomy places the organism in Eukaryota, Metazoa, Chordata, Actinopteri, Siluriformes, Bagridae. The transcript has a single exon.